ACCCGCACAAGCGGUGAUGAUGUGGAUUAAUUCGAUGCAACGCGAAGAACCUUACCUACCCUUGACAUGUCCGGAACUUGCCAGAGAUGGCUUGGUGCCCGAAAGGGAAUCGGAACACAGGUGCUGCAUGGCUGUCGUCAGCUCGUGUCGUGAGAUGUUGGGUUAAGUCCCGCAACGAGCGCAACCCUUGUCAUUAGUUGCUACGAAAGGGCACUCUAAUGAGACUGCCGGUGACAAACCGGAGGAAGGUGGGGAUGACGUCAAGUCCUCAUGGCCCUUAUAGGUGGGGCUACACACGUCAUACAAUGGCUGGUACAAAGGGUUGCCAACCCGCGAGGGGGAGCCAAUCCCAUAAAGCCAGUCGUAGUCCGGAUCGCAGUCUGCAACUCGACUGCGUGAAGUCGGAAUCGCUAGUAAUCGUGGAUCAGCAUGUCACGGUGAAUACGUUCCCGGGUCUU
RNAcentral lists this ribosomal RNA (458 nucleotides) under uncultured Ottowia sp. RNAcentral's name for it is "bacterial SSU rRNA". It matches the Rfam family "Bacterial small subunit ribosomal RNA", at positions 919 to 1382 of the family's 1533-position model. The record is from RNAcentral. Lineage: Bacteria; Pseudomonadati; Pseudomonadota; Betaproteobacteria; Burkholderiales; Comamonadaceae.